GAUGACUUUCUAACGGUUUUUAAUUGUUGCUUGGCCUUGUUUUUUUCUUAAUCAAACUAUGACUAUUAGUCAUUGAUAGACUACAGAGGCGGACUUAGAGGGAGGGUCAAGGUGCUCGCAUCACCUUUUUGUUGGGGAAAUUUGGUUGCUUGUAUAGGGAAUCAAUGAAAAAUGACUGUAGCGGGCCUACUCUUAGGCAGCCAGUCCCCCAUCCCUUUAUGAAAGCUCUGAAUACGCCACUGGACCACUGUUGCCUAUAUUUACCAUGGGUUGGCUAUUUAUUUAAAGAAGGACAAGUUAAACUAGA
RNAcentral lists this long non-coding RNA (307 nucleotides) under Mytilus galloprovincialis (Mediterranean mussel). Lineage: Eukaryota; Metazoa; Mollusca; Bivalvia; Mytilida; Mytilidae. The record is from RNAcentral.